RNAcentral lists this ribosomal RNA (315 nucleotides) under uncultured bacterium. RNAcentral's name for it is "bacterial SSU rRNA". It matches the Rfam family "Bacterial small subunit ribosomal RNA", at positions 28 to 334 of the family's 1533-position model. The record is from RNAcentral.
GAUAAACGCUGGCGGCGCACAUAAGACAUGCAAGUCGAACGAACUUAACCAUUAGUUUACUAUUGGAGCGGUUAGUGGCGGACUGGUGAGUAACACGUAAGCAACCUGCCUAUCAGAGGGGAACAACAGUUAGAAACGACUGCUAAUACCGCAUAAUGUACAGAGGGGGCAUCCCUUUUGUAUCAAAGGAGAAAUCCGCUGAAAGAUGGGCUCACGUCUGAUUAGCUAGUUGGUGGGGUAAAGGCCUACCAAGGCUGCGAUCAGUAGCCGGACUGAGAGGUUGAACGGCCACAUUGGGACUGAGAUACGGCCCAG